UACCGAAAGGUAUGCUAAUACGAGAUAAAAUACUUUUAUCGCAUGGUAGAAGUAUCAAAGCUUUUGCGGUACAGGAUGGACCCGCGUCUGAUUAGCUAGUUGGUAAGGUAACGGCUUACCAAGGCGACGAUCAGUAGCCGACCUGAGAGGGUGAUCGGCCACAUUGGAACUGAGACACGGUCCAAACUCCUACGGGAGGCAGCAGUGGGGAAUAUUGCACAAUGGGCGAAAGCCUGAUGCAGCAACGCCGCGUGAGCGAUGAAGGCCUUCGGGUCGUAAAGCUCUGUCCUCAAGGAAGAUAAUGACGGUACUUGAGGAGGAAGCCCCGGCUAACUACGUGCCAGCAGCCGCGGUAAUACGUAGGGGGCUAGCGUUAUCCGGAAUUACUGGGCGUAAAGGGUGCGUAGGUGGUUUCUUAAGUCAGAGGUGAAAGGCUACGGCUCAACCGUAGUAAGCCUUUGAAACUGGGGAACUUGAGUGCAGGAGAGGAGAGUGGAAUUCCUAGUGUAGCGGUGAAAUGCGUAGAUAUUAGGAGGAACACCAGUUGCGAAGGCGGCUCUCUGGACUGUAACUGACACUGAGGCACGAAAGCGUGGGGAGCAAACAGGAUUAGAUACCCUGGUAGUCCACGCCGUAAACGAUGAGUACU
This 649-nucleotide ribosomal RNA is filed under the name uncultured bacterium. Its description in RNAcentral is "bacterial SSU rRNA". It matches the Rfam family "Bacterial small subunit ribosomal RNA", at positions 149 to 817 of the family's 1533-position model. The record is from RNAcentral.